This 460-nucleotide ribosomal RNA is filed under the name uncultured bacterium. Its description in RNAcentral is "partial 16S ribosomal RNA". It matches the Rfam family "Bacterial small subunit ribosomal RNA", at positions 338 to 795 of the family's 1533-position model. The record is from RNAcentral.
CCUACGGGAGGCAGCAGUGAGGAAUAUUGGUCAAUGGGCGCGAGCCUGAACCAGCCAAGUCGCGUGAGGGAUGACUGCCCUGCGGGUUGUAGACUUCUUUUAUCAAGGAAUAAAAUGAGGCACGUGUGCCGUUUUGUAUGUACUUUAUGAAUAAGGAUCGGCUAACUCCGUGUCAGCAGCCGCGGUAAUACGGAGGAUCCGAGCGUUAUCCGGAUUUAUUGGGUUUAAAGGGAGCGUAGAUGGGGUGUUAAGGCAGUUGUGAAAGUUUGGGGCUCAACCGUAACAUGGCAAUUGAUACUGGCAGCCUUGAGUACAGUGGAGGUAGGCGGAAUGCGUGGUGUAGCGGUGAAAUGCUUAGAUAUCGCGAAGAACCCCGAUUGCGAAGGCAGCCUACUAUACUGCCACUGACGUUGAGGCACGAAAGUGUGGGUAUCAAACAGGAUUAGAUACCCGAGUAGUC